UCUAUCUUUGUUCACUUUCCCCCCGUUUUUUUUCUAUGUUUAGAGAACUAAUUUUUGAAAUGGGAUUUCAUUUCUGUUUGUCUUAAUUUCUGCAGCAAGGCGUUUAAAAAUGGAGAGUCCUCGACCAGUUAAUACCGAGAAUGAUAAAGGAAUUCUUGGAACAAAACAAGAACUUCCAGAUGUUGAAGAUUUAGCAGCAAUGGAUUACACUCCUGCGAGAAAGAAAACUCCAAUUCAUAACUAGAAUGGUGAACUUUGUUAGACAAAUUAGUCUCCUUUUGCUACACACAUGUAUGCUGCCUAUAUAUAUGUAUAGAAGUGCAUAAUAUAUUGGAUAUAUAAUAAGAGAUGUAUAUCCACAGAGAGUGCUUAGAUUAGGAAUAGGGAAUCCCCCAGUUAGGGUUUUUGAGAUAUGUUGUCUCUUGUGCACAACCUGACUGUGAAUAUAUUCCACAUUCAAACCCAUUUUCGACAUAGCAAACGAUCGAAUUGGAAAAUGAUGCCUGAAGCAAAAUUGUACCUUUCCUUCAAAUAGGGGCUAAGUUAGUAAUCUUUCUCUGAAGUGUGAGUUUGUUUUCUGUGAGUUAUUGAUUAAAACCUUAACUACUCAAUAAGUUAAUUGUAAUUUAUUUUAUAGAAAGUGGGUUCUCAAUGGACGGCCUUUGUCCUUUUGAUGUUAAAAUGUCAUGUAUUUUUAAUGAAAAAUAAAUGAAAACGAAAGAUAAAAGAAAAAGAGAAAAGUCUAACACAUCCUAUAGGGUUAAAUGCACAAAUGGUGCAUGAAAUAAAAUUAUACAUAAACUCAGCUUUGUAGCAUAAUCAUAUAUAAACUCAUAAAUGUAUAUCUCAUUCAUACAUGGAUUAAUUUUCAUCAUUCAAAACAAAUAAAAUAAUAUAAUUGACGUGUCACUUAGGGUUUCAAAAAGCUCCAACACCAAACAAGACAUACUCGAAAGGAACUAGUGUGGAAAGGCCUUUCUUGGCCGACCACCCCUUAGCCCAAGGUCAAAACCAAACUUUGCAGAUUGUAAAUAACCUAACACGGUCACAUGACAUUGUUCAAUUCAGCACAUUCAUGUCUUCACAAAUUGUACCUUACACCUUUAUUCAUCUUAAAUUCUUUUUCAAUAUGGGUCCAAUUAAUCACAAAUCUAGGUAUAGUAGCAAGGUGUCUUGUGUGUGUAAAUCCAACAUAUAAUAUCACGGUUUUGUCGAUAGAGAUGGUUUUAAUACCAAAUUCAUUGCAUUUACAUAAUUCAAUGUACGUUGAUUGACAACAGAAUAAAUAGUUCACAUUGAGUCAAAGAUAAACGCGUAGCAUUUAUAUAUAGGUGUUCAAUGAACUAUAAAGAGAAGCAAUGGUUAUUUAGAAAGGGUGAACUUAGUUUAGGAUUCGAAGUGUACAAGAAAGGGGACAUUUGUUAAACAUGUUUGCUUUUAACCAUAAUAUCUUUCUCUAGUCGAAGGAAUCUUAGCAACGAAAAUAAGUAAAUUAUAACAAAAAGAAACCCGUCUUCUUGGAAAACAAAAUUCCAAAGGAAUGCAACUUAGAUUUGAUCUUGUUUUACCACAGGCAACUUGGAAUAGGAAACAAUAUUGGUAAAAAUGAAAAUGGCACACGCUACCAUCAUUGUGGUUGCCAUUUUCAUUUUAAUUCUUCUUAGGCAGAUCGAGGCAUAUUGGCUUGGCUUGCGAAAAACAAAUAGUUACUAGAUGAUUGGUUGAUAGGUACGUGGCUAGCAAAGAACUCAAAAAUAAAUUGAAAAAAGAAAAAAACUAAUGCGGUAAUGCCCUAGGCCAGGAAGUCGAUAUUGAAAUUGUAAUAAAUGAGACUAAUGUUAUAUUCAUAUAAUAUUCUACGUGAUACAACAUUAAACAUUUAACUAUUGUAGUCUAUUAGUCUUGUGAUUUCAAGAAAAGGUUUGAUCGAAAACUAUAGUUUAGGAAAGACAAAUUAAUUCCGUCAACCAAAGAACAAGGAAAUUGAUCUUGAUCUUUUGUAUAGUCGACUGAAGCAUUAGGCACUUAAACGGUUGCCUAAGGUUUCCGAUUCAUAGAAGGCUUUUAACUUUUAAUAUUUUUUUUGCCAAUUUUUUUGGGAUAAAUGAUAUUUUUUAGUUGUUAUUUCAGUUACUAAAUUUUCAAAAUGAAAACAUGCACAAUAUUGAUGUUUCUAGGAUCAAUUCAAUGGCCUUCUUUCUUUAUUUGAAAAUAUAGUGAAAAUGGAUUUGGAUGUGUUAUGAUUUCAGCCAAAACGGGAAGUAGAAUCCAUAUUUUGUGCUUACAUAUAGAAUAUUGGUCCCAAUUCUUGUGCCAAUUUAUUUGUCUAGAAGAGUUUUUCAAAAUUGAAAUGGAUAAAGCCAUGUCUGUGAUCAACUGUGUCACGAGAAACAUUAAGUGAAUUAUCUCUAUUGUCAAUUGAACAUGAUUUACUAGAUUAAGCUUGAUAAAUAUAAUGAUUUAAAUAAUAAUUUAGAAUUUGAAAUGGAAGAUUUUUUCUUAACAACUUAAAAGUUAGAUGGGUACAAAUAAAUUAACAACUUAAAAUGCAUAGAAUGGCAAAUUCCAAUUUGGUGUGAAAAAUGCAAUAAUUAAUUCGAUGUGACCAACUCUGUCACAAAAAUUAAUUCCCAUCUAGACUAUUCCUUAUUCCACGCGAAACACCGCCCUUGAGUACGAACCAUAUAUACUAUGCAAAUUUCAUAGCCAUGCACGUGAUGGACCAUCCAUGUCAAAUUUUCAUGUUCUGCUACACUUAGGCAAGGAAAUAUCAUAUGAAACUUUCCCAAAGACGUUUGUGACUAUAUUUGUCGGCUGGAUAUUCAUUGAUUUUCAGGGUAUGGGACCCCCCUUGUCUGAGAGAAGAAGAUCAUAGAUUUGUUUCGAUGGCUGUCGGGAUCUUAAGGCGAUGGUUGCUGACAGUGGCUCCUCAUUUUUCAAAUAUGAUCCUGUUUAUUGGAAAUUAAAAUCAAAUUUUGAUAAAAACUGAUAUAUAUAUAUAUAUAUAUAUAUAUAGUUGAAAAUUUGUGAAUCUCAUAAAAUAUGUGAUUAAAAUUAAUUGUUGACUUUCAGUUAGAUUUUAAUAUAUAUUUGUUUUAGUUGAAGCAAAUAUGGAGGAUAUAGGUUAAUUUAAAUCAAAGGGUUUAUAUAUAUAUAUAUAUAUAUAUAUAUAUAUAUCCCCUAUCUGGUAAAAAUUAAAUUUUAGAUUUCAAUAUAAGUCAAUGUUAACAAUUAAUUUUGAUCACAUAUUUCAUGAAAGUCCUAACUUUUUACUACACAUUCUAUCAAAUUUUUACUAAAUUUUACUAAAAAUCUGAUUUUUAUCCAAAUUAAACAGUCGCAUUUUUUGCACUGGAAUGGAAAUUGACCAUAACCAAGCUAUCCACAUACAUUUUUUUUUUUUUUUGAAACAAAACUAUUACUAGCGCUUUUGAAAUUAAUUACUUCUUUUGGGGUUUAUAUAUAUAUCCCCUAUCUGGUAAAAAUUAAAUUUUAGAUUUCAAUAUAAGUCAAUGUUAACAAUUAAUUUUGAUCACAUAUUUCAUGAAAGUCCUAACUUUUUACUACACAUUCUAUCAAAUUUUUACUAAAUUUUACUAAAAAUCUGAUUUUUAUCCAAAUUAAACAGUCGCAUUUUUUGCACUGGAAUGGAAAUUGACCAAACCAAAGCUACCCACAUACUUUUUUUUUUUUUUUGAAACAAAACUAUUACUAGCGCUUUUGAAAUUAAUUACUUCCUGUGGUGUCUUCUGAAAGAAAAAAAUAAAUAAAUAAAAAUGAUAAGUCUUGGUAUGCAUAAAACAUGUACAUAGGGGUAUCCUUACAACCUCAUGCGGGUCCCACACCAUGUGAAGGGUUUGGACACCCCUAUGUACCCAAAUUAUGUACACCAAGCACUAUCCAAAAUAAAUGAUGAUGACAACACUAUGUGGCAACUUUCGCUCAACUUAAUAGAUUUUGGAGCUGGUUUUGAAUCUGGUUGACAAUCGAAAUAAUAGGAACAGGGGUCAAAAACUCUCCGAUGCAUAAAUUAAUGAGGUAGGAUAUGUUCUAACCUCAAAUAUAUUUCUUAGAGAAAGUAGUGAGGGAUGCAGACGUUUCUAGGUGGAAAUGGUUCCCUUAUAUUUUAUAUAUGUUUAUAAAUUGACACCGCCUCCAAACAACUAGAUCCCGAUCCUAAACUGUCUUAUCAACGUCGAUUGGUAGGCUAGAUUAACAUAGUGUGUGCCUCGAACCCAUUUUUUAAUAUAAUGAUCACUUCAAUACAUAUUCCUUAAAGGCAAAAUUUUCCGUUCAACCUAUAAAGUAGAUCACAAUGUUUAGGUUUAGGCUUUGGUAUUAAGGGUUUAGCAUAAUAUGAUUAGUGAGCUUAAUAGUCUUGCCAUCCUACAAUAUUGACUUUUAGGCCUCUGACUGUGUUGUGAAUAAGAUGGUGUUCACUAACUGUCGAUAUAUUACUCUAGCAUCAUUUUGUAAUAGUACAGUUUUUUAUUACGAGAUAUGUUCUUGGUUAGGCUUCUACAUUAGGAUUUGGUUGUAACGUAUGAGGUGUCCAUGAAACUGAGCAGCUUGUACCCUACCGUGGCAUCCAUCAUUUUUGAUCUACUUGGAGGAGGGGGAAAGAUUGUCCUCUAGACAAGCCUUGUUAAGGUUAGUGAAAUCUAUGCACAUUUCCAAUCACUUUUGCUCCAUUACAAGGACCGGCUUGGCGACCUACUACGAAUGUAGUGCCUCUCUCAUGAAUCCAUUUCUUAGGACCUUCUACAACUCCUUUCAUAGAGCUUUGUAUCUUUUUGGAUUCGAGACGUCUUCUCUGUUGCUUAGAUUGAAGUCCGAGGUCGAUGUUAAGCUCGUGACAAACAACUUUAGGAUCGACUCCCUUCAUGUCUUGGUUGCUCCAUGUGGCAUAUCAAAAUUAUUUCUUCGAAAAUUCUCAAGCCUGGAAUCGAAUGGUUGCCCAGCUCGUGCCCUAUGCAGAGUUCUUUUUAAGAAUGUUUCGAGCUUUUUUAGAUUUUAUCCAAUUCUUCGAUCAAAUAGUGGAAUAAAAGGCCUUGACUCAACCUUGAACCUAGGCACCAUUUAAGUGUAAACUUUGACACAAUCGGCAUAAACUUCUGCGCAAUAACACCAUGUGUUCACAUAACAAACUGCAUAAUAAAUGCCAUAAAAGCACAAGCCUCAACUAGAAUUGUUAAGAUUUGAGGUUCCAUCCUAAAAGGUCAACCUUAUUAAGAAGAGUAGUACAAUAUCUUUCUAAGUUGGUCAAUAUUUUGAUAUUUAACCAAUGUGGGAUAAUCUCUUAACAUGUGUUAUCCUACAUUGUUUUAAUAUCGAAAUAAAUACUAAUUUAUAAAGAUCUUGGGUUUCUUCCCUUAAUAAGAUUGACCUUAUUAAGAUGAACCACAAGUUUUAAUGUGGUAUCAGAUCCACCCCGUGGAUUUCAAAAUUCGUCUGCUCAAAUGAGCCACCAUCUUGAGGGGGUCUGUUAAGGGAUAUGUUAUCCCAUAUCAUUUAAAUAUCAAAAUAUUGACUAACUUAAAAAGAUUUUGGGCUACUCCUCUUAAUAAAGUCGAUCUUUUAAGAUGGAAUCCCAACCGAUGUCUGAUUUUUAUCCCUUGAUAAAAAUCAUUGACUACUUAGAAAAGAAAGGGGAACAAAAAGAGUACGAUGUAGAGGAAAUCAAAGAAAAGUAUUUAGUUAUAGAUUGGAUUGCCUGUCGAGUGUGCUUUAAAAGACCAAUAAAAAUCAAACAAUUAUUUAUCUAUGGAGAACCAAGCACACAGAAAACCCUACUUUUAAACUUGUUAUCAAAGGUAAUAAGAAUCUAUUUUGCCAGCAUCAGAAGAAAUGACUAUUAUGACUUAUGGGCCUUCGAUGAGUUUCAUGAACAUAGUGAGCAAAGCCAACAUAGAGGGAAAAGUAUAGGAUCUACUAUGGAGGGGACCUCCUUCGUUAACAAACUUUUGAAAGUAUCUGAUGGACAAGAAUGUAGACUAGAUUCCAAAUAUUCAAAAGUUUUCAACAUGUGAGCUUGGUUGGGAAACAUGAAAUUUUUAAAAGUUCAUUUUUAUGUGUUAAUAUAAGUUUAAUUAUUUAAGUGGAAUUUAUUGUACUUAAAAGUUAUGGACUUCGUUUACAAUUUUUCCUUAAUUUUUGUUGUUUUAUUUUCUUUUAUUAUUGUUUACUUAAAAAGAGUGACUAAUCCGUCUUUUAAUGACUAAAAUUGAGGGAAUGACGAAUUUUGCUACAUAAUUGAAAGGUUGAGAAUGGAUUGUGCUAAAAAAAAAAAAUGCUACGGAUAGAUUUAUUAUAUUUGUAAACGUUGAGGACGAAAAAUGCAAAUUUCCCAUGCUAAUUUUCCACAAAGCACCUGGAAAGGAACAUGGAAGGAAAUGUGUUGGAACAAAAGGACAAAGCUAGAAAAUUGCACAAAAAUAUGAAGGGCGUUUCUAAAUGCACCAAAAAAUAUCUAAGUUCACAUCCCUUAAUUUAAUUAUUUUCUUUAUCAAUUAUUUAUUUUGAUAUAACAAUUUUAUUUAUAUUUUCUUUAACAUUAAAUAUUACCCUUUUUCUGCUCCUUCACCAUACCACUCAUUAUCAUUAAUAAUGUCAAAAAAAAUUUAAGUCGAACUUUGAGUAUCUAUGUGUUUGUUCCGUUGACAAAUGUUCACCGUGAAAUUUGGGCACUCAGCGUACACGAAAGGUCCAUCUCAAUGCUUCUUAGGAGUUCAUGGACACUUUCGUAUUUAUGCCAAUUCCAUCAACUAAGUGGUUGAUGCAUAAAUGCAGAAAUAGAUGCUUGAUUGUGGAGGAUCCAGCAAGACAAUGAGCAACACCAAACUAGGUUUUAGGAUCUUGUACAAUUUUGAUUGAUACAGACAAUUAUAUGAGUAAAAUGGUCUAAUAUUGGAGAAUCAAAAUUAAUUGGCGUACUUAUAAAGUUCAAUGAGCCAUUGAAAUAAUUAGAUAAAGGAUCCAUGAAACUAAUUUUAAUAAGGAAAUUUGUCCUCGCAGGUGAGGCAUAUUUUGUUCUUGUAGUAAUGUUGUUCGGAGGAAUUAAUCUUCCCAUAUUUCUUAUAUCCCGUUACUUUAACUCCUUCAUUAACGAGCAGAUAUGCUGGUUUAUCGCUUUAAAAACUUUAUCAAUAAGUUACUAUCGAGUUUUUCAAUAAUUUUUGGCCAUUAUGUUGUUGUUUUCAAGCAGUGAUAGACUGAUAGUAAUAGUUUAUGGCCAAUUUAAUUAGGUAGAUGUCUAUUUGUCACGAUUUAUCAUGACCCACAUGCUUAAUGUUUAAAAUUGGAAAUUAAAUUUAAAGUUGGGUUGAUGAACUGCUCAGUUAAAUUUCCCAUUUUUAAAUGGGGUGGAAGUUAUUGCGAAAAAAAUAAAAAUAAAUAAUCCACUUUUCUUGCUAGAAACAAGCGGUGAUGUCUAUGUGAAAAGAAGCAAGGGUCCGCCGCCUAGCCCUACUAAUUCCCCGUACAAUUUUUUCUUAAAAAACCCAUAUUUUUAUUCCAUCCAGUGAGUGGACAUAAAGUGGAAAUUGGUUUGAGGCAUUGUUGGAUGUAUGAGAUUCAUAAAUUUCAAAUAAAUCUUGAACAUAGAGUUAGGAGCUUGCAUCAAUUUUUUUAUUCACCCCCAAGAUUCUUCAUUGAGAAAAUAUCAUGACGAAUCCAAAUUUUUUUGUGAAAAACCAUUGGUCGCUAAUGAAACAAAAUUUACUAUAAGAUAUUUUAUUUAGACUCGGACUCUGAUAUAGAAGUGGAAGCCCACCUUCCCCUAAUUUCACCUUAGAUGUCGACUCCCCUCAUGUACCCACCUCGGAGAGCCAGUGAGUUCGGAAUUUGUGUACAUGGGUAUACCUAGGAAACAGUUAAUAACUAGUCGAGGGAGAUGAUCAAUCCUAGUUAAAUGUGGAUUAUUGUAGGUAAGAUGCUUGGUCUCUUGGCCGCCUGAAUUCACCAAUAAGAAGUUUAUGCGACAAUCUAGACUGUUAGCCUAUGUUUCAGGCAAUCAUCGCGUCCCCAUUGUCAUUCAGACCAACCAAUCACCAACGAUUGAAUUGACCGUGACACACAAAUCAAGGUCAAACACUAUAGCAUAAAAUGACCAUGACAAUUUGAGUUGUACUCCUACAAAGGAAAUAUUCUCCAUUUGUAGACAGAAUUUUUCUACCAUAAUACACUAAUAACACAUAUUAUUGAGCUCGGAUCUAAUAUUAGUUCAAUUUCUAAACUUUUUUAAUCUUUUAACAAUACCUUGUAAUUUGGAUCAAGAAAGUGAUGUCAUUUUUAAAUUGGAAAUUAAAUUUAAAGUUGGGUUGAUGAACUGCUCAGUUAAAUUUCCCAUUUUUAAAUGGGGUGGAAGUUAUUGCGAAAAAAAUAAAAAUAAAUAAUCCACUUUUCUUGCUAGAAACAAGCGGUGAUGUCUAUGUGAAAAGAAGCAAGGGUCCGCCGCCUAGCCCUACUAAUUCCCCGUACAAUUUUUUCUUAAAAAACCCAUAUUUUUAUUCCAUCCAGUGAGUGGACAUAAAGUGGAAAUUGGUUUGAGGCAUUGUUGGAUGUAUGAGAUUCAUAAAUUUCAAAUAAAUCUUGAACAUAGAGUUAGGAGCUUGCAUCAAUUUUUUUAUUCACCCCCAAGAUUCUUCAUUGAGAAAAUAUCAUGACGAAUCCAAAUUUUUUUGUGAAAAACCAUUGGUCGCUAAUGAAACAAAAUUUACUAUAAGAUAUUUUAUUUAGACUCGGACUCUGAUAUAGAAGUGGAAGCCCACCUUCCCCUAAUUUCACCUUAGAUGUCGACUCCCCUCAUGUACCCACCUCGGAGAGCCAGUGAGUUCGGAAUUUGUGUACAUGGGUAUACCUAGGAAACAGUUAAUAACUAGUCGAGGGAGAUGAUCAAUCCUAGUUAAAUGUGGAUUAUUGUAGGUAAGAUGCUUGGUCUCUUGGCCGCCUGAAUUCACCAAUAAGAAGUUUAUGCGACAAUCUAGACUGUUAGCCUAUGUUUCAGGCAAUCAUCGUGUCCCCAUUGUCGUUCAGACCAACCAAUCACCGACGAUUGAAUUGACUGUGACACACAAAUCAAGGUCAAACACUAUAGCAUAAAAUGACCAUGACAAUUUGAGUUGUACUCCUACAAAGGAAAUAUUCUCCAUUUGUAGACAGAAUUUUUCUACCAUAAUACACUAAUAACAAAUAUUAUUGAGCUCGGAUCUAAAAUUAGUUCAAUUUCUAAACUUUUUUAAUCUUUUAACAAUACCUUGUAAUUUGGAUCAAGAAAGUGAUGUCAUUUUUUUUUUAUCUCAACAUCUUUCACACACAAAACACCCAAGAUCAAUCUCCUCCAAGCCUCACAAGACAAUAACUAGUUCAAGAAUUAAGAAAAUUUUCUCUCUUAUUCUUUCUCGAUUGUUUUGUGCAGUUUUUCCUAAACAUUGUCCUACUCUCUUAAACCUCUUCAUUUUACUUUGUAUUUGACAUAGACCAAAAAAAAAAAAAAAGAAGAAGAAGAAAGGAAACACCUACACAAAUAAAGAGGGGGGUAGAGAUUUGAUUACUAUUUUUGAAAGAGUUUUAUUAAUAUAUGUAUAUGUGGUUAUGAAUUAAUUUAUGAUCACUAUCUGAGGGUCGACUGUAGGAAGGAAAUUAACAAUAUGUUUGGUGUGAAUGUGUUCUCUAUGGAGACAACAAGUGCCCACCAAAGACAUGAAACGGGUUGCAUGCCAUGUGAAGGAUUUUGUAGUUGCCGCUAUCAAAUCACCUUAUCUGGAUUAGAAAGCGGGUCCGCCCUAUCAAUGCAUUUUUAGGUUUAAUUAUUAAUUAAUUAUGUCUGAUUUAAGGCUUUAUUAUUAAUAUUAAUCUAAAACUAGCAAUUAUCAUGGUUAACCAUAUCCAGUUUUGAAUUUAAUUGCGUUUGGAAACCAAAUACUACGUCUUGUUUGGCUCCAUUUUUUAAAGCUUAUUUUUAACCAUACGUUUUAUCGGACCAAUAAAUUUUAUCAACUUUUAAACCACACAUUACAUCUAUUUUUAUCAAAAUUUACUAAAAUUUUUAUUAUUAGCCAAUGUUCUUAUCAAAAAAAAUACAAUUAAAGUUUGUAUGCAAAUAAGCACGUGUUUGGCCCUCAUUUAUUUUUUUUCAAACUCAUUUUUAACCAAAUGCUGUUAAUAAAUAACUUUGCACGUUGACUCAUAUAUAUAUAUAUAUAUAUUUUUUUUUUUUUUCAUAUUUGUUAACUACAGAUCCUUUAAAAAAAAUAUUUUUUACAAAAUUUAUUCUAAAAAUUUCUCUGCCAAAACAUGGAUUAAAUCAGGGUAAGUUUGAGUUCGACCAUGUAUCAGAAUUAAGAAAUCAUAAAAAUUUCUGAUUGGUCCUUGAUUUAAUCCUUAUUUGUUCGCAAAAAUGGGCGUUCUUGAGGUUAAAAUUUGUAUCUGUCUUCUAUCUUGAGUUACACAUCGAAAAACGACGAAGGAUGCGUGAGGAGCUUGUAGAGUAUAUUAUUUACAGUUAACAAAACUAUUAUGUGAUAAUCCAAUUUGGACUACAGUGGAGUUAUGUUUGAAAUGAAUUUAUCUCGUGAUAUGUAGACAAAUGGACUUGAUAGAAUUUGUCUUUUAAUUUUGGAUAAAAUAGUUCAAUAUAAUGUUAAUGCGAAUGAAAGUCUUAAAACCAUCCCAAUAUUCUUGAAUUGCUAAAAUAAUUUUACCGCAUUAACAAAAAUAGACAAUUCCAAGGUUUGACACUCUUUUGACACUUGAUUUUUUUCACCAAGUAAGCAACAUCUUUCCUACCUCAAUACUCAAAAGUCUUAUUUGCAGAGAAGAUUUUUAUUUUGAACUGCUUCUAUAACUGCAAAUGCAUCUUUCUCCACCAUAAAAAAUUUAGAAGAAAAUGUGGAUGAGGUUUAUAAGCAUCGUCUAGAUUCAAAAAACCUAUUAGACAUAUUAACUCAUCAGAAUUUAUUUAACCUAUGAAGAGUAGGUAUGAUGAUUUUUUUUUUUUAAUAUUAGGAAAAUAAAAGACACAUAAACACCAUUAUUGAAUUGUAGAUAGAACUUAUUUGAGAUCAAUUUUUUGGGCUUGAGCAUCUAUUAAUUACACAUCCAUGCUGCAUAUCAUGGAAGAUAAAAUUAGAAUAUUUUUUUUAGUGCAUGCUGAAAAUAAAAUCUAAAUAAAAGAAUUUGUCUUUUAUUUUGGUCUCUUUGAAAAAUUUUAAAGUAGAGUUUUUUGAGGUUUGUUUAGAAGGUAAAUAAACCUCUAUUUGAUAGGGUUCUUUAAAACCAUAAUAUUCAUAAAAUAUCCUCUUCAACUAAAGUCAAAAUAAUGAUGAAAGAAAUAUUAUUAAAGCAAAUACAUACAGACGGAGAAAUAUAUGAAGAAGAGUUUGAAAAUUAAGGAUUACCUUUUAUUGUGGGUUUUAUGAAUUUAGUAUAUCAAUGAUUCUUAAUUUGUAUUUGGGUUAUUUUGAAAAUGUGCAUUUUUGAAUUCAAGUAGUAUCAGUAAGAAAUUUCAUUUCGAAUUAUUUGAGUUUUUUGUUGGGAUUAUUUUUCUUUUUUUGAAUUGAAAAUUACAUUGAUAACUAUUUUUCUGCUAGGAUUAUCAAAACAACAAUUUAAUUUUUUGCAAGGAUUUUUUUCUUGAUUUUCUUAGAUUCAAAACAAUGGUGGCUAAUCUGCUAGAUUAUCAAAAUAAGUAAAAAUAAUAAUAAUAAUAAAUAAAUAAAAAAUGAAAGUUCAUAAAUGACAAUGAUUGAAAAUAUGAAAGGAUUAUAAAGGAAUUAUGAUAUGGUAGAUAUAUAAAAAUGGUGCGAUAAAUAUAUAAAAUGAUAUGGAUGUACAGAUUUAUAAUAUGGUGCAGAUAGAUAUAUGAAAGGAUUCAGGGAAUAGCAUUGGAAUAUAUAUAUAUAUAGUCUUGAUGAAUAAUGUUAAAAUGAAUGAAUUUGAAUAAGGACGAUAUUGAAUGUCAUGUGGAUAAAAAUAGUAAUUUUUCAAAAUUUAAAAUUUUAGUAGGAACAGAUAUAGAGUGAGAUGGAUAUAUAAAUAGGGGCUCCCUAAUUUUUUUUCUAAUUUUUAAUUACCUAUUCUCCAAAAAAUUCACUUUUAACAAAAUAUACAUCGAACAGUCUUGAAUUUCAAUGUAUAUCAAUUAUUUAUUCUAAAUAUCGUCCUUGCAACAUGAAGAAAGAUAGAUAUAAAUAUUUGUUCCCUGACAUGUUGGGACACAUCCCGCGAUUUGCCCCCCUCACAAAGCUCUAGGGGCAGGGCGAUGGGGCCCCUCAAGGUUGGGGUUCGACUUUUUUUUAUAUAAAAAUAAAAAAUAAAAAGAAUCCAAUUCCCAUAACAGGCACUCCGUUAUUUCUAAAAAUAAGAGCCUAAACUAUUCAUCGAGUUAUGUUGAUCAGAUACACUAAAAAUAGCGAGACCAGACCAUAUUAGGGUUCCAAACUUUCUGUACCGCGAAUUCUCUACGCAUUACACGAGAAACCAAGCAUAUGAUCUGUUUCUUGUUGAUAGUAUGCAUGCAACAGUACAUAGCCCUUAACCCUAAUUAAUCCCCCGUCACUCAUACGCUUAUGUUGUCUUAUAUUGGAGCAAGCAAAUCACGAUUUACUUUGCAGCCCAAAUAAUCAUUUCUGCAAAAAGAUGCUGAAGACACUGAUGGUGACUCUAUGUCCCCAGGCGGGUCCCCUGCAGGCAAGUUUACUUACAGAAUUUUGCCGUAUAGAGAUUGCACAUCUGCUAUGAAUCUGACCAUUUAAAUUUUUGCCUAUAAAUAGGAUAUUCUUGCAGUUUAAGAGCCAGAACGCAGAAAGAUUUAUUAAUAUUCUAAAACCGUUAAUUUGUAGUUAAGAUGGCUGCUUUGCCCACAAAGCAUAUUGUUUUGCUAGUUCUUUUAGUGUUUUGCAUCGUCUCGACCUGUUCUCAAGGUAGGAUUUAUGUUUCUUUCUUUGUUCACUUUCCCCCCGUUUUUUUUUCUAGGUUUAGAGAACUAAUUUUUGAAAUGGGAUUUCAUUUCUGUUUGUCUUAAUUUCUGCAGCAAGGCGUUUAAAAAUGGAGAGUCCUCGACCAGUUAAUACCGAGAAUGAUAAAGGAAUUCUUGGAACAAAACAAGAACUCCCUGAUGUUGAAGAUUUAGCAGCAAUGGAUUACACUCCUGCGAGAAAGAAAACUCCAAUUCAUAACUAGAAUGGUGAACUUUGUUAAACAAAUUAGUCUCCUUUUGCUACACACAUGUAUGCUGCCUAUAUAUAUGUAUAGAAGUGCAUAAUAUAUUGGAUAUAUAAUAAGAGAUGUAUAUCCACAGAGACUGCUUAGAUUAGGAAUAGGGAAUCCCCCAGUUAGGGUUUUUGAGAUAUGUUGUCUCUUGUGCACAACCUGACUGUGAAUAUAUUACAGAAAACAUAUAUAUUUCUAAUAAAAAUGUUGGGCGUUAUGCAAUAUUUUAGCCUCAUUUUGUUCAUAUAUACAUAUAAUUUAGAAAUAGC
Molecule: long non-coding RNA, 13478 nt
Filed under: Olea europaea (common olive)
Lineage: Eukaryota; Viridiplantae; Streptophyta; Magnoliopsida; Lamiales; Oleaceae
Description: long non-coding RNA (OEUR_LNC008668)
Source: RNAcentral